CAUGCAAGUCGAACGAAGCUCUGCGAUACAAGACUUCGGUCAAGUUGAACGGAUGACUUAGUGGCGGACGGGUGAGUAACGCGUGAGGAACCUGCCUUUCAGUGGGGGACAACAGUUGGAAACGACUGCUAAUACCGCAUGAAGCAUAGAGGUCGCAUGAUCUUUAUGCCAAAGAUUUAUCGCUUCAAGAUGGCCUCGCGUCUGAUUAGCUGGUUGGCGGGGUAACGGCCCACCAAGGCGACGAUCAGUAGCCGGACUGAGAGGUUGAACGGCCACAUUGGGACUGAGAUACGGCCCAGACUCCUACGGGAGGCAGCAGUGGGGAAUAUUGGGCAAUGGGCGCAAGCCUGACCCAGCAACGCCGCGUGAAGGAAGAAGGCUUUCGGGUUGUAAACUUCUUUUAAGAGGGAAGAGCAGAAGACGGUACCUCUAGAAUAAGCCACGGCUAACUACGUGCCAGCAGCCGCGGUAAUACGUAGGUGGCAAGCGUUGUCCGGAUUUACUGGGUGUAAAGGGCGUGCAGCCGGGUCUGCAAGUCAGAUGUGAAAUCCAUGGGCUCAACCCAUGAACUGCAUUU
Molecule: ribosomal RNA, 577 nt
Filed under: uncultured bacterium
Lineage: Bacteria
Description: bacterial SSU rRNA
Rfam family: Bacterial small subunit ribosomal RNA
Source: RNAcentral